AGACUGGGAUAACUCGUGGAAACAGGAGCUAAUACCGGAUAACCAGUGCGUUCGCAUGAACGCACUUUAAAAGGCGGCAUUUGCUGUCACUUAUAGAUGGGCCCGCGGCGCAUUAGCUAGUUGGUGAGGUAACGGCUCACCAAGGCAACGAUGCGUAGCCGACCUGAGAGGGUGAUCGGCCACACUGGGACUGAGACACGGCCCAGACUCCUACGGGAGGCAGCAGUAGGGAAUCUUCCGCAAUGGACGAAAGUCUGACGGAGCAACGCCGCGUGAACGAUGAAGGUUUUUGGAUCGUAAAGUUCUGUUGUUAGGGAAGAACACGUACCGUUCGAAUAGGGCGGUACCUUGACGGUACCUAACGAGAAAGCCCCGGCUAACUACGUGCCAGCAGCCGCGGUAAUACGUAGGGGGCAAGCGUUGUCCGGAAUUAUUGGGCGUAAAGCGCGCGCAGGCGGUCCUUUAAGUCUGAUGUGAAAUCUUGCGGCUCAACCGCAAGCGGUCAUUGGAAACUGGGGGACUUGAGUACAGAAGAGGA
RNAcentral lists this ribosomal RNA (538 nucleotides) under uncultured bacterium. Its description in RNAcentral is "bacterial SSU rRNA". It matches the Rfam family "Bacterial small subunit ribosomal RNA", at positions 135 to 658 of the family's 1533-position model. The record is from RNAcentral.